RNAcentral lists this ribosomal RNA (140 nucleotides) under Staphylococcus epidermidis. Its description in RNAcentral is "partial 23S ribosomal RNA". It matches the Rfam family "Bacterial large subunit ribosomal RNA", at positions 2783 to 2925 of the family's 2925-position model. The record is from RNAcentral. Lineage: Bacteria; Bacillati; Bacillota; Bacilli; Caryophanales; Staphylococcaceae.
AAGCAUGAAGCCCCCCUCAAGAUGAGAUUUCCCAACUUCGGUUAUAAGAUCCCUCGAAGAUGACGAGGUUAAUAGGUUCGAGGUGGAAGCGUGGUGACACGUGGAGCUGACGAAUACUAAUCGAUCGAAGACUUAAUCAA